AGCGCUGCAAGUCAGCCCUCCGACGCCAUUCUGUUAGAAUGCGCGAAGGUGCGUAUGCCUGCAUGUACGUCUGCGCGUAUAUACAUAUAUAUAUGCACAUCCGUGUGUGUGUGUGUGCAGCCGCCGAAAUCUUCUAUUCGGAGAUGCUGUCCCUGACUCUGAGUGUGCGCACGUUUUCGGAAUGCGCGCAUGAGUGGCUUUGCCAUGUGGAUACAAAAAGGCAGCCUCACGCGCUGUUUUUUUUUUUUUGGAAUGAACCAACGGAACAACAGCAGCAAGUAUAUAGAUGUACAUCCCAUAGGGCGAAGGAAUGCGCCAGUGAGGUGCGGAAGGAACCUACGGGGUGACGACAUCGUGUGAGCCUCUUUGGCGUGUUGACGCGUUUUCCGCGCCUGGGCCCGAUGUCGGAGGUGAACACAGCUGCAGUCUUUCAUGAUCCAGUUUCUCAUCGGGGCCCUGCCUCACUCGCGCCUCCCUUUAACGCGCCCAACUCUUUCUAUUCGUGUUGCCCCUCCCCCUCCCGUACUCUUGUUCACCUCCCGCUCUACCUGCACAAG
Molecule: unclassified non-coding RNA, 557 nt
Filed under: Leishmania donovani
Lineage: Eukaryota; Euglenozoa; Kinetoplastea; Trypanosomatida; Trypanosomatidae
Description: gene:unknown
Source: RNAcentral